RNAcentral lists this long non-coding RNA (515 nucleotides) under Gopherus agassizii (Agassiz's desert tortoise). Its description in RNAcentral is "lncRNA (ENSGAGG00000025613.1)". Lineage: Eukaryota; Metazoa; Chordata; Testudines; Testudinidae. The record is from RNAcentral.
UUAUCCAGUGAUCAAAACUAACGUUUCAGUUAAUAAAAGUUUAACUAUAUUUGUUUCUAGUCAGAAGUUGCUGGCACAAAUAAAGUCAUCCUAAUACCACCCAACGAAGGAACACAGCAGAAUAUUUCCUCAGCCCUGGCUCCGGAACCAGGCCAACCACCUGGUAAUGGGCAAGAUAUAAAAAAGAAAAAGCAGGAAAAGAAGAGUACAGACAGAUCUGGUGGUCAAGACGUCUUGAAUCUUCUACCUGCAACUACUGCUGCUCCACCACUGCCUGAUAAUGUCUCACCAUUAACCACAAGAGCUACAAGCAUUUCCCAGCCUGGUAGCUGCAAAGAAGUUGAGAACCCUGUUACUUCUGUUCCUGAGGAUGCUUCCUUGGCUCCUACACCAGCCGAUGAUGUAGAAUCACUUGCUCAAGACAGUGAGGGAUUGGCAAAGGAAAUAAAGAGGUAUUGUGUAAUGAUGCGUUUUAUCCAACUUCUGUCUUGGGUGUUCCCUGCUUCAGAAUAUAU